GGAUUGCAAGCUAUUCUCUCCUGAUAAAAUUUUUAAAAAGUUAAGAUUAAACUAAUGCAAUUCAUACAGCAGGUGAGAUAUUAACAUCCAGAUUAAG
Molecule: long non-coding RNA, 97 nt
Organism: Lontra canadensis (Northern American river otter)
Lineage: Eukaryota; Metazoa; Chordata; Mammalia; Carnivora; Mustelidae
Exons: 3
Source: RefSeq, a predicted model, not a curated record